UAUCUCUUCUUAUGGACCAAGGAUAUG
RNAcentral lists this non-coding RNA (27 nucleotides) under Cricetulus griseus (Chinese hamster). The record is from RNAcentral. Lineage: Eukaryota; Metazoa; Chordata; Mammalia; Rodentia; Cricetidae.